Long non-coding RNA from Trachemys scripta elegans, 2149 nucleotides. RefSeq lists it as uncharacterized. Lineage: Eukaryota; Metazoa; Chordata; Testudines; Emydidae. The record is from RefSeq and is a predicted model, not a curated record. The transcript has 3 exons.
CUUUAGUCCCAGCUGCCCGCUGCCCCCAUCAGGGUGAUUUAAACAGACCCUUUGCCACCCUCCCCAACUGGUCCUGUCUAGGAGGCAAUAAAUUCUCUGGUAAUAAUGGUCUGGCAUGAGCCAUAAAGCGCUCACUGAUACAGGGCUCCCACUGAUCUAAAGUGCUGUCCAUUUGCUUCUUAAGUGCAAUCAGCAGCCUUGCUCUAGACAGCGGAUCCUUCCCUCCUCGGGGGAGCCUGAUGCAGUUAAAUUCUUUAUGGACAGGCAUGGCCCUUAAUCAAAGUCAGCGUCAAUCAGCCGAGGUCAAGCUCCACAACCAGGGAAUUAUGGGAUUGGAUCCAUCUGAGCAGGGGCUGCCCUUGUCCUGCUCCAGAUUCUUUCUUGCACCUCCAGUUUUUCCAAGCAUCCUUGCUUUGUGCCUGCCUGGGGAGCCUCUUCGCUUGGUCCUGACAUGGGCCACCAAUUUCUCCACCCAUGUCCCUGUGCAAUGCUUGAUGAGUGUCAAUAUCCACAGAGAGCCCCUGCAAUGCGGCCACCUUUGAGGGAGAGGGCAGCAGCCAGAUGGACAACUGUUGCACCAAACAGUUGUCCAUUGAAUGAAUGGGUAGUUGGGAGUCAAGCCUCUGUUCUACAUCUCCUCACACGACCUCCUGCAGCACAGAGCACAGUGCCCCUAGCACCACCCUGGGGUAUUGGUUCAGUGGGGAGAGUGCCACAUACUGGAUGAUGAAGACUGCUUUCUCCAGCGCCUAGGAAAGUCCUGUUCAACGUGAUCAUGAGCAAGAACCUAAUCUUUAAUAGCUGUCCAGGCUCAUCUCCUGCCACCAAUGUUCAUGCAGCAGGUGUCUUCCAAGAGCUUCAGUGCAUGUCGUGGGCCAGAUCCUCAGCUGGGAGAAGCCAACAGAGCUCAUGAGACAUCAUCUCUUCCAACUGUGAUAGCAAUUCCGUGAAGAGGAUCCUCAGUCAGGAGCUGGCAGCCAGACUCCGAGCUGAUGUCAUGGGAAUAAAUCUGUGCUCCGAUCCAGUGACCUGUCCUUAAACGCUUGGAUGAGCUUGUUCUACUGAUCCAGGACAGUAGACGGUAAAUCAUUACCAACCGACGGCUGUGAAGGGGCCUGUGUGAAACGAAUCUGUGGUCUCAGUUCAGUCCGUCUGAUCUCAUGUACGUCGACUGCGAACUCCACUGACUUUGUGGGUGCCUGGUUGACACUGGUGCAGGUGAAAGGAGAGUUGGGCCCCGGGUGUCCCCAUCAGAGAACCGCAGCCCCACACCUGGCAUUCACCUGCACCCUGGGAUCAGACAGGCCGGUGGUCGAGGAUGGAAUGGACAUGAGGAGUGAGCUGCCUUCUGCUUAGGAGUGGACUCUGCAUGUCAGGGGAUGAGUCUCGCUAACAGGUUGGGUCUGUACGUGCACACUACUGCUGCCCGUGCUGGGGAUAAGCAGGGUUCUUUCCAUAGUUAUUAACCUGGCUCCUUGCCCUGCCACGAAAUUUACUGCACAAACUAAUCUCGCUGCAUCACUGUGCUCAGAGUAAGAGUGGGCUUGGGGCUAAGGCCUCAAAUCAUCCAACAUGCAGAGUCUACUAGGGACCGUUGCACCAGCUGGAGUGACCACGGCGAUGGCCUUGCACCAGGCAUGGUAUAGUGGAGUUUGUGAGAUUGUGACAUUUUGCACAAAGUCUGGCCUGCCUUCAGCUGCUCAUUUUAUUAAAAAAUGAUGUUGCGUGCUCUGCAGCCACGUUGCCAGGAUGGACAAAACCACACCAGCGUACUGUGCUCUCAGACUCUCCAGCGGUGCACAAAGGGAUGCAUGCCCCGACCCCGCCUGAUGCUGCUCGUGGGGUUUCCCCAGAGAUCUGUGGAUUUGCAGGAUUGAGCCGGAUCUGGGAUUAGUAGUUCUGCCUUCAGACCCUGGCUCUACCACAGAUGGCCUGUGUGACCACGUGCAAGUCACUUAAUGUCUCUGUGCCUCAAUUCUCCAUCUGUAAAAUGGGGAUAAUACUCCUCAUUUCCACCCCUUGUCGAGUUAGACGAUACAUGCUUCAGUGUGGUAGCUGUCUCUUGCUAUGUGUAUGGACCGAGUAUUGCACAAUGCUGUAGCUGAUUCUCCUUUGGGGGGCUACCCUGCUAUAAAAAAUAGUCAUCUGG